ACCAGACUCCUACGGGGGGCAGCAGUGGGGAAUAUUGCACAAUGGGGGGAACCCUGAUGCAGCGACGCCGCGUGGGUGAAGGAGUAUUUCGGUAUGUAAAGCCCUAUCAGCAGGGAAGAACAAUGACGGUACCUGACUAAGAAGCACCGGCUAAAUACGUGCCAGCAGCCGCGGUAAUACGUAGGGGGCAAGCGUUAUCCGGAUUUACUGGGGGUAAAGGGGGCGCAGACGGCGAUGCAAGCCAGGAGUGAAAGCCCGGGGCCCAACCCCGGGACUGCUCUUGGAACUGCGUGGCUGGAGUGCAGGAGGGGCAGGCGGAAUUCCUGGUGUAGCGGUGAAAUGCGUAGAUAUCAGGAGGAACACCGGUGGCGAAGGCGGCCUGCUGGACUGCGACUGACGUUGAGGCCCAAAAGCGUGGGGAGCAAACAGGAUUAGAUACCCCGGUAAC
Molecule: ribosomal RNA, 448 nt
Filed under: uncultured bacterium
Lineage: Bacteria
Description: partial 16S ribosomal RNA
Rfam family: Bacterial small subunit ribosomal RNA
Source: RNAcentral